RNAcentral lists this ribosomal RNA (496 nucleotides) under uncultured bacterium. RNAcentral describes it as "partial 16S ribosomal RNA". It matches the Rfam family "Bacterial small subunit ribosomal RNA", at positions 28 to 507 of the family's 1533-position model. The record is from RNAcentral.
GACGAACGCUGGCGGCGUGCCUAAUACAUGCAAGUUGAGCGCUGAAGGUUGGUACUUGUACCAACUGGAUGAGCAGCGAACGGGUGAGUAACGCGUGGGGAAUCUGCCUUUGAGCGGGGGACAACAUUUGGAAACGAAUGCUAAUACCGCAUAAAAACUUUAAACACAAGUUUUAAGAUUGAAAGAUGCAAUUGCAUCACUCAAAGAUGAUCCCGCGUUGUCUUAGCUAGUUGGUAAGGUAAAGGCUCACCAAGGCAAUGAUACAUAGCCGACCUGAGAGGGGGAGCGGACACAAUGGAACUGAGAAACGGUCCAGACUCAUACGGGAGGAAGAAGUAGGGAAUAUUCCGCAAUGGGCGAAAGCCUGACGGAGCAACGCUGCGUGAGUGAUGAAGGUCUUCGGAUCGUAAAACUCUGUUAUUAGGGAAGAACAGAUGGGUAAGUAACUGUGCACAUCUUGACGGUACCUAAUCAGAAAGACACGGCUAACUACGUG